AGUUGAGAGACUGUAAUAUUACAAUCUCUUAAAUUCAAGGACAGUUAUUGAAAUUUAUCUAUUUUUUAGCACAAAAGGUGAGAGAGACUUGAAAGGUAUGAGGCCUUUGUGUUUUCAAACCAUAUUUAUUUUCUCAACCUUAAUAGAAGAAAAAAGAGAUGGCAAAGCAGGGACUAAGACCCUAGUCUCUAAUGAAGGAGAAGAAGAGAGUAAAGGCUUCAACCUAUGACUCUCAAAUCAUGAAGAAGGAGGAGAAGGAGAGUAAUAUGAAUAGUUUUGUUAAGUUUUUAGAAAGAAA
RNAcentral lists this unclassified non-coding RNA (298 nucleotides) under Hevea brasiliensis (rubber tree). Lineage: Eukaryota; Viridiplantae; Streptophyta; Magnoliopsida; Malpighiales; Euphorbiaceae. The record is from RNAcentral.